CUGUAUUCCCGACGGAAGAGAACAUGCUCUUUCAUAAUACAGCUUCCUAUGUGAAAUAUGUGGAAGCUGAAUGGCAGCAAAUUUU
This 85-nucleotide small RNA is filed under the name Neochlamydia sp. AcF84. Its description in RNAcentral is "Flavo-1 RNA". RNAcentral also lists the same sequence under 2 other names. Lineage: Bacteria; Pseudomonadati; Chlamydiota; Chlamydiia; Parachlamydiales; Parachlamydiaceae. The record is from RNAcentral.